This 325-nucleotide ribosomal RNA is filed under the name uncultured eukaryote. Its description in RNAcentral is "partial 18S ribosomal RNA". It matches the Rfam family "Eukaryotic small subunit ribosomal RNA", at positions 1470 to 1796 of the family's 1831-position model. The record is from RNAcentral.
CCCUUAGAUGUUCUGGGCCGCACGCGCGCUACACUGAUGCAUUCAACGAGUCUAAAACCUGCUCUGAUAGGGGUGGGUAAUCUUUUGAAUGUGCGUCGUGAUUGGGAUAGAUGAUUGCAAUUUUUCAUCUUCAACGAGGAAUGCCUAGUAAACGCAAGUCAUCAGCUUGCAUUGAUUACGUCCCUGCCCUUUGUACACACCGCCCGUCGCUCCUACCGAUUGAAUGCUCAGGUGAGCCAUUCGGACUUUCAUCAUGCUGGUUUCCAGUUUUGAUGAAGGAAAGUCUUGCGAACCUUAUCAUUUAGAGGAAGGAGAAGUCGUAACA